UAGUCCUAGCCCUUAACGCUGGAUGCUAGGUGUAGGGCUGAUGAGGCUCUGUUCCGGAGCGAACGCGAUAAGCAUCCCGCUUGGGAACCUCGGCCGCAAGGCUAAAACUCAAACGAAUUGACGGGGACCCGCACAAGCAGCGGAGCGUGUGGUUUAAUUCGAUGCUACACGAAGUACCUUACCUGGGUUUGACAUGUUGGUGGUACCGAACCGUAAGGGGAGGGACCCUUCGGGGAGCCUACACAGGUGCUGCAUGGCUGUCGUCAGCUCGUGCCGUGAGGUGUCGGGUUAAGUCCCGUAACGAGCGCAACCCUUGCUCUUAGUGAUACGUCGUCUAAGGGGACUGCCGGCGACAAGCCGCCGCAAGGUGGAGAUGACGUCAAGUCAGCAUGGCCUUGAUAUCCAGGGCUACACACACGCUACAAUGGCCGGUACAAAGGGCAGCCAAGCCGCGAGGUGGAGCGAAUCCCAGCAAAGCCGGUCCCAGUUCGGAUUGCAGGCUGCAACCCGCCUGCAUGAAGUUGGAGUUGCUAGUAACCGCGCGUCAGCCACUCGUGCGGUGAAUACGUACCCGGGUCUUGUACACACCGCCCGUCACGUCAUGGGAGUUGGCA
RNAcentral lists this ribosomal RNA (614 nucleotides) under uncultured organism. RNAcentral's name for it is "bacterial SSU rRNA". It matches the Rfam family "Bacterial small subunit ribosomal RNA", at positions 791 to 1416 of the family's 1533-position model. The record is from RNAcentral.